GCACAAGCGGUGGAGCAUGUGGUUAAUUCGAUGAUACGCGAAAACCUUACCUGGGCUUGAACUGUGCAUGACAGGUGUAGAGAUACACCCUCCGCAAGGCAUGUACAGAGGUGCUGCAUGGUUGUCGUCAACUCGUGUCGUGAGAUGUUGGGUUAAGUCCCGCAACGAGCGCAACCCCUACCCUUUGUUGCUACCAGAUAAUGCUGGGCACUCUAAGGGAACUGCCGGUGAUAAACCGGAGGAAGGUGGGGAUGACGUCAAAUCAUCACGGCCCUUAUGUCCAGGGCUACACACGUGCUACAAUGGCCGGUACAAAGCGUUGCAAACCUGCGAAGGGGAGCCAAUCGCAAAAAACCGGUCUCAGUUCAGAUUGCAGUCUGCAACUCGACUGCGUGAAGUCGGAAUCGCUAGUAAUCGCGAAUCAGCAUGUCGCGGUGAAUACGUUCCCGGGCCUU
This 455-nucleotide ribosomal RNA is filed under the name uncultured Leptospiraceae bacterium. RNAcentral's name for it is "bacterial SSU rRNA". It matches the Rfam family "Bacterial small subunit ribosomal RNA", at positions 923 to 1382 of the family's 1533-position model. Lineage: Bacteria; Pseudomonadati; Spirochaetota; Leptospiria; Leptospirales; Leptospiraceae. The record is from RNAcentral.